AUCGCUUCUCGGCCUCAUGGCUAAGAUCAAAGUAGUAGUAUCUGUUCUUAUCAGCUUAAUAUCUGAUACGGCCCUAUGAUGGGUCUUUUGAUGUUAACUGAAUUUUUGUAACGCGGCGCCUGGGCGGGGCUUGCCCCACCGGUGCCACGGGUCGUCCCGGCAUUGCACUGCAGCCGGGCACGGCCCACUUGUG
RNAcentral lists this small nuclear RNA (193 nucleotides) under Dermacentor silvarum. RNAcentral's name for it is "U2 spliceosomal RNA". It matches the Rfam family "U2 spliceosomal RNA". Rfam says of the family: U2 is a small nuclear RNA (snRNA) component of the spliceosome (involved in pre-mRNA splicing). Lineage: Eukaryota; Metazoa; Arthropoda; Arachnida; Ixodida; Ixodidae. The record is from RNAcentral.